UUUCUUCUUUUCAGCAACCAUUCCCAGGUGGGCAGGCUCAAAUUGUCUCCCUGAGAGCUGAACAAAGGCUCUUUAGUUUAACAUUCAGGCAGGGGGGCAGGGUUCCCUGAGGCAGGCCAUUACGUAUGAUUAUAACAACAAAGGCAACGAAAAGCAAACCUUAAAGUAAGGGGGGAAAAAAAAACAGAUCUAACUUGGAGUCUGUUUUGGCUCUUCAGAGAACCCAGUGGCAUCCACCCCCCUCAAUGCUAGGGGCCCCUCACCCAGCCCUCAGUGAUUCUGCCCAUUUUCCCUUUUCCUCUAGAGCAUCUCCCAGGCACAUUGUGGAGACAGCUGCCAGCUCUUCGAAGCAGGACUUGAUCUCUCUGUAUGUCUGUGUAGCCACGGCUUCGCCCUCCUCCUCCUCCUCCCCACAGACACUGGAGCUGCACAGAGAUGGUGCGGAGGCGAUGGCUCUGGGCCCCUCAUCUGGUCUCCUUCCCAAGCAGGCGCUCCUCACUGUCAUCAGCCAGGGCUUCCAGGCACCUGCCACUUUGCAACAGAGAAACUGAGUCCAGGGAGGAGCCUGACAGCAAGCAUCCCCCACCCAAGGAAGGUGGUGUUCUGGAGCAGCCUCCUUUCUUGCCAAGCCUCAUCCCCCUCACAGUCCUCUUUGAAAUAAGCCCUGGGUGACUCACCACCCACAUGCCAAGCAGCCUCUAGGACAUUUUGCUGACUUAAAAGCCAUCCUUUCUUGAGCCGACUAUGCCCUCCCUCCCCUCUCCCACGAAAGCAGCAGCUCCUGGGAUGGUUCUUGGCUGUACAUCAGAAAUUUUCUCUUCUAUUUCAGGAAGAUUCAUCCGACCAGAGUGAGCAGCCUGCAAGGAGCUGGUAAAGGCUGGAGGUGCCAGGAACAUCAGGAGAGCAGCCAGGGCCCUGCGGAGGGGAAGCACUCCAUAUUGCAGAAGGAAAUUCCUAUGCAUGAGAAAAUUCCUUUGUUUAGUAAAUCACACAAAAAUCCAACAGAAAUUGUGAAAAUUCUGAAAGACAACAUGGUCGUUUUGGAAAAGACAAAAAGAUAAACAAGGUGACAAGGAUCACAGUCUACGUGAAGGCUGAGCAGCCUGUUAAAGAGAUGAAGCCUGCUCCAUCUCUCUGCAAACGUGGGUCACAGCCCCCUCUACAGAAAUCCUACACCCCAGGGAGGCACUCUCCUCUCUCCAGAUCCACCACGCACCUUCCCACACCUCUGCCAUUUUCUCCACCUGGAAUGCCCUCCCCCUCUUUUCCA
Long non-coding RNA from Bubalus bubalis (water buffalo), 1270 nucleotides. RefSeq lists it as uncharacterized. The transcript is spliced from 3 exons. The record is from RefSeq and is a predicted model, not a curated record. NCBI's taxonomy places the organism in Eukaryota, Metazoa, Chordata, Mammalia, Artiodactyla, Bovidae.